UGCUAUAGGAGUUUAUGCCAAAAGAUCCGCAUGCACUGGGAAUUUGUCAAAAAACAUUAAUUUGUGCUGCAUUUUAAGAAAGGUGUAGACUUCAGUUCUGAAAGGGGUGGGGUGGAGGAUGGGAAGACGUUCUAGGCUGAGAAGAUCUUGAAGCAGGAAAGGGGAGGAGAGCAGCUUGGCUGAAGUGGAAGGUCCAUGCCUGGGAGAAAGAAAGUUGGACUAGGGUGGGGUGAGCCUCAGAUGCAGCUAGAACCUGUUUUAUCUUCAAAUAAUAGGGUGCUGGGCUGGGCACUGUGGCUCAUGCCUGUAAUCCCAGCGACUCAGGAAGCUGGGGUGGGAGAACUGCUUGAGGCCAGGAUUUCAAGACCAGCCUGGGCAACACAGCGAGACCCCAUCUCUGAAAAAGUAAGAAAUAUUAGCUGGGCAUGUUGGUGCACACCCAUAGUCACAGCUGCUUGGGAGGCUGAGGUAAGAGGAUCACUUGGGCCCAGGUGUUUGAGGCUGCAAUGAGUCAUUAUCGUCCCAUUGCACUCCAGCCUGGGAGACAGAGCAAGACCCUGACUCAAUUAAAAAUAAAUAAAUAGGAGCUAUUGAUGGUUCUUGAGUAGAAAAGUAAAGAGUGCCACAAUGAAGGUGAAAGCAGUAUCACAGUGUGAUAAGUAGACAGGGGUCUGGAAUCAAUGGACUGAUAGAAGAAACUGGGAGUACCUCUGAUUGUGGAAGUCCACGUGUGAUGGAAUCAAGGCUCAGGCCAGACAGGAACCCAAAUUAUCUGCUUAAAUGAUUCACAAAUGAGAAUCACUUUGGGAGCUUUAAAGAUGAGAACACGUUCGUGGGCCUUGCCCCCAUUUGUGCAUUUUCUCAACGUUUCCCAGGAGCUGAUGAUGCAGCACAGGCGUGGGAGCUUUAAACUAGUCCAACUCUUACACAAAGGGCAAAUUUUCUUAGCGGACUAAGAAAUGUAACUCAAAGAGGUUAAGUGACUGAACCAAAGUCACACUCCUAGUUAGUGACAGAGGAGAACCUAAGUUGGACCCUCCCGUCUGGACCCCGGGCUCCUUCCUCUAGGCUGGACCAUUGCAGCACCCGACAGGGGCAACACUCCAGCGGAAUCCCCUGCAACCUGCCCUUAGGCUGAGGCUUCCCUAGAGGGCCUUCCCUGUUUCUCCAGAGCCAGUGUUCACUAGUUCCCCAGACCCUGUAAACUCCAUCGUGGUCUUCCUAAAUGGGACUUCUCCUCAGGCUGUCCAGCAGGAAAGAAGGGAGUAGCAGGAAUACGUGGGUACCCUGGUUCCGUGGCCACUAGAGGUAAGGUGGGCUGGGGGUAGGGGUUAGAGAGCAAGAGAAGCAGCCCAGGUGAGAUGUCAAAGAUCAAGUUUUCAAGGCCACCAGGGAAGGAGGCUCUAGUCCUAAGGUUAAAGUCAGCCAGGGCUCAGUUUGGGAAGCUCAGGUGUGUGGUGAGAAAGCUGCUGAGCUGCGGCCAGUUUGCAGUACCAAGGAGAGCUGCUGGACCAGAGAUGGAGACUGAGGUCCCAGAAAGGCACUGCUGGAGCAGGAAGAUCUGGGCCAGCCACCAAAGGGAUGUGAACCUGGAGCGAAGCAGGAGGACUGAAACUUGGGCAACCUUCCUCUUCAGGGGUGCUGGAGGGCUCCUGGGCACAUCCAGGCCGGGGAAGAAGCCCCCGGGAGCCGUGUGGUGUUCACACGCAUCACAGGUUCAGGAGAAUGCAGGAGGGGGCCUGAGAAGAGCUGCGGAUUUGGUCACUCCCGGGAAGCGUUAGGUAGAGUGGAGAGCAG
RNAcentral lists this long non-coding RNA (1797 nucleotides) under Homo sapiens (human). RNAcentral describes it as "HSALNT0130543". Lineage: Eukaryota; Metazoa; Chordata; Mammalia; Primates; Hominidae. The record is from RNAcentral.